RNAcentral lists this ribosomal RNA (1053 nucleotides) under Triticum aestivum (bread wheat). RNAcentral's name for it is "partial small subunit ribosomal RNA". The record is from RNAcentral. Lineage: Eukaryota; Viridiplantae; Streptophyta; Magnoliopsida; Poales; Poaceae.
CCUGGUCUAGCUAUAUGUUCAGAUGCAGGAAAAGGGAUUGACACUGCAAUCGAACAGGUAUUUGGGUAUGCUGAACAUAGAGAAUGCAUGCGACACUUGGUUGUGAACUUCAAGAAAAAAUUCCAUGGUAAAGUUUUUGAUGAUCAUUUGUGGCCAACUGCUUAUUCAUGAACUCCUCGAGGGUUUGACUAUCACAUGGCAGCCAUAGAGGAGAAAAAGGCUACUGCAAUAGCAUACUUAAACAAGUACCACAACAGGCUAUGGUCAAGGAGCAAAUAUUCAACCUCCUCAAAAGUGGAUUAUGUGACAAAUAAUUUGGCCGAGUGUUUCAACAACUGGAUCCGCAAGCACAAAGGUUUAAUGUUGUUUCAGCUCAUGGACAAGAUAAGGAGAAAGAUUACGAUUAAGUUUGAGAAGAGAAGGGUAGCUAGAAAAUUUCAAGGUCGGCGUAUACUUCCAAGUGUCAUGAAGGAGUUGAAUGACAUAAGCAGGGGGCUGGACAUUGAAUAUGAGAGAAUAGAUGACAUGAUUGCAGAGGUGAGUGAGAGUGUUGCGCUAGGUGGCAAGCGCCACGUCACUGAUCUAGCAAACAGGACAUGCACAUGCAGGGCAUUUCAAGUCUCCGGGAAGCCUUGCAAACAUGCAAUUAGCUUUAUUACUGGAAUUAGGGGGGUCACAAUAGAAGACUUCGUUGAUGAUUGUUACAGCGUUGCCAAGUUUGCUGCAGCUUAUACUCCUAUUCUUCCUGGCCUAACCGACAUGUCUCAAUGGCCAAGUGUGAACAAAGAAUUCUUCUUGAACCCCCCAAUCCUUAGGAGGGCCCCUGGGAGGCCAAAGGUACAGAGGCACAAAAGUGGUGCUGAAAAUAGCAAGGGAAAGGGAAAGAAAGGCCAACACCAAUGUCCAAUUUGCAAAGCUUAUGGACAUAGAUGGCAAAGCUGCAAAGAUGCUGCUCCUGAAGCACUAGAAGCCUAUGCGGAAGUAGCAAAGCAGAAAAGGUACUUUCUAUUUCAAUAUGAGAUUUCUGUUCCACCUUACUCUUGUCUUAAUUAA